This 206-nucleotide long non-coding RNA is filed under the name Brassica napus (rape). RNAcentral describes it as "long non-coding RNA (BNAP_LNC000899)". The record is from RNAcentral. Lineage: Eukaryota; Viridiplantae; Streptophyta; Magnoliopsida; Brassicales; Brassicaceae.
UCACAGAUUUUUCUCUUUUCUUUCUCUCUUUCUCUCUGAAAUUUUCUCUGGUUUUUCUUGUGAAACAGGACGUCCAGAAGAGAGAAGAUGGUGUUUUAUAACAUAAGAAGUUGCUUCAGGUGAGGGUUUCACUCAUCACAAAGCAAGGCUGAGAAAGGACAUGUGGAGAGCAGUUUCAGCACUUCCAACAGCAAGCUGAUGUCCUU